ACCACACCAACCAACACUCUAAAUUCUGUUGUGUAAUUUAGGUAAAUAUAAUAUACAUAUAUAAAUAUACAUGUUUGGUUAUAAAUAAUCAUAUGCUGGGUUGUUGUUAACCCAAACAUGAGUUAAAACAACCCAGCAUUGCAUUGAAACAACCCAGCAUAUGUUUAUUUAUAAACCAACAUAUGUGUUCUGUCCAAUAUUUUCCCAGCAUUGGGUUAAAAAUAACCCAGAUAAUUUAGAGUAAAUCAGCACAUCCUACUUGUACAAACUGUGCACAACAACUGAAAAUCAAUGCAAAGUUUUAUGUUCUGUCUAUGAGUGUCCAUUUCUGUACCAGAAUAGAUUGCUGUACUAACAUAAUGUCUAUUUGUUGACUAAAUAUAAAUAUAUAAUAUUAUUUGUUGAUUAUCCGCAAAGGCAUAUAAUAGUUUCAGAUUAAAGAGUUAAGCGGACAUUCUGUAUCAUAGCACCCAAAAAGCGUCAGCUAUCACUGCCAAGCAAGGGGUUGGCGUCAGCGUUUUCAGCCAUAUUUAAUGUUUUAAUGCUUCCGUGUACAGUACACUGAGAUAAUUGACCUUUUGCCGGCCCCUUCCCCAAAACGGCCAUUGUCCAACAACACAUCACAGCAACCGUUACUAUGCGAGCACCUCCGACAAACAUUCACACCCGCAGCGUUUGUGUGCGGUGCAUACAAUGGAUAAAACAGUGUGGACUGCCCAAUAUAAUGGAUAAAACAUUGUGGACUGCCCCAUUCAGUUAACCCCCUGGGGUCCAAAAACGCGGGGCCGCGUUUUGACGCAUUUUUUCCUGUUUCCUGUGACAUCCACUUAAAAUACUCCAUCAUUCAUAAUCAUACACAUACAUGUAAUACAUCAUUCGAAACUGUGAAGUCUCUACUUUAAUGUGAGUGCCUUCAUAAUAACAACAAAACUGUGUGCUUUUGGCAAAUAAAGAAAAUAAACAGGGAGUGCAUUUCGACAUCUCUGUCUCCUUGACCAUUUUCCUCAAACACGUUUCAAACAUGAACUGAUAACUCCGCCAAUACUUGUCACACGAACAUGAUACAUAUGUCUAAAGAAAGCCUGAAAUGUCUACUUUUACAUAAUGUAAUUAAAAUCUGAAGAACUCAUUGUCUGUUUGUGUAAUCAACAUGUAAGUAAAGAGAGGUACAGUUUUUCUGGCUCAACCUCAUUAGCGCUAAUGUGAUCCCACCUACCUUGUGCGCGCCAUUCAUAUGGAAAUUACCUGAUGCGGGCUAUGCAAACAAGAUCAACGCCCCCAAACAAUGCUUUAAGAAGCAGCGAGUUUUGACAGUUUCAUCCACUUAUCAACGCGCUGGGAAGAUGACACGGUUUACAGGUGAGGAAGCUAAACAGAUGCUCCUGGCAGCGAGGAAGAGUUCACUGUUUCUUCAGACGAAGAGCAGGACUCCGACGAUGAACGUUUGUUUUUUGAAGAGCGACUUGAUCCAGCUGAGGAUAUAAUUUCUGAAGAGAAUGUGGCAGCAUCACUCUCCUCUUCAGCGGGCAUUUGCAGAAAUGCGACGGACAUUCAUAAAGGGAAUGUGUCUGCAACACCAACUUCGUCUGGUACCCGCACGUUUUGAACAAUGGGACGACAACAUUUAACUCCAUUCCCAAAGAGUUACAGUGUGUGAUGGUUUACAAAUGUAUACCUUAUUUUUUUAUAUUUGGAAGUAUUUUUAGAUGCACACCAAACUUUCACAGCUGACCAUUUAGAAUCCUUUUCUUUUAAUUAGAGCCAUAUUGUACUGGUCAUAUAGAAUAUUGUUACAUGUAUACAUAUUGUUACUUUAUUAUUUAUAAUUACAAUGAAGCUUCUUCAUUUAUAAUUACAAUAAAGCUUCUUAAAUCUA
Misgurnus anguillicaudatus (oriental weatherfish) is the source of this 1876-nucleotide non-coding RNA. The record is from RefSeq and is a predicted model, not a curated record. NCBI's taxonomy places the organism in Eukaryota, Metazoa, Chordata, Actinopteri, Cypriniformes, Cobitidae.